Molecule: transfer RNA, 533 nt
Filed under: Bradyrhizobium sp. TUTAHSA4
Lineage: Bacteria; Pseudomonadati; Pseudomonadota; Alphaproteobacteria; Hyphomicrobiales; Nitrobacteraceae
Description: partial 16S-23S ribosomal RNA intergenic spacer
Rfam family: tRNA (bases 98-171)
Source: RNAcentral
GCGGGACUUCGUCGUCUCCGUUUCUCUUUCUUCACGGACGAGCACGCGUUCGGCCUGCCUCGUGGCGGACCGAGGUCCCUGACGGGAUAUGCCUCAGGGGCUUGUAGCUCAGUUGGUUAGAGCGCGCGCUUGAUAAGCGUGAGGUCGGAAGUUCAAGUCUUCCCAGGCCCACCAGAUCCAUCGAAUGGGGUUGCGGGCGGUGGCCACGGGGCCAUAGCUCAGUUGGGAGAGCGCGUGCUUUGCAAGCAUGAGGUCGUCGGUUCGAUCCCGUCUGGCUCCACCAUCCCCUGCUGCUCGGCAGCUUCGGGUGGCAGGCUGGUCAGGCGUGUGGGUCGCUUCGUCCGUAGAACGGGGUUUGCAGGGUCUUCGCCGAUGGCGAGGGGCCUGCGGGUUUUUUGACAUUGUGAAGAGGACAUCCAUCCGGUUUGUGACCGGCCCGCUGGGGCUGGACGCAACCCCGGCGGCUUCGGCUGCCUUUGCCGGAUGGAUGCGAAGCAAGAUGGUCUUAUCUGUCGUGCGCGCUUCGCCUGGGG